AAGCUUCUGGAAUGUUGGUCAUCUUUUGAAAUUUUACCACUGAUUAUUUAUAGGGAAGACGUGUUCCACUGCGUAUGACAAGCUGCUUAAGGUAGAAGUCAGAACCAGUAGAUAGUCCACCCACCUUGUGAAGGUGUGGUGUGAGAUUUUAGGGAUGACGGCAUUCUGGAUAAAAU
Molecule: non-coding RNA, 176 nt
Filed under: Clostridiales bacterium 38-18
Lineage: Bacteria; Bacillati; Bacillota; Clostridia; Eubacteriales
Description: 6S RNA
Rfam family: 6S / SsrS RNA
About the family: E. coli 6S RNA was the first non coding RNA to be sequenced, but its function was unknown until recently. It consists of 184 nucleotides that fold into an extended hairpin structure with a large single-stranded internal bulge.
Source: RNAcentral